GCCCGGAUGGCGGAAUAGGCAGACGCACGAGGCUUAAACCCUCGAGCCACUUCGGUGGCGUGUGGGUUCAAGUCCCACUCCGGGCA
This 86-nucleotide transfer RNA is filed under the name Actinomycetes bacterium. Its description in RNAcentral is "tRNA-Leu". It matches the Rfam family "tRNA". From Rfam's summary of the family: Transfer RNA (tRNA) molecules are approximately 80 nucleotides in length. Their secondary structure includes four short double-helical elements and three loops (D, anti-codon, and T loops). The record is from RNAcentral. Lineage: Bacteria; Bacillati; Actinomycetota; Actinomycetes.